Long non-coding RNA from Dreissena polymorpha, 5028 nucleotides. RefSeq lists it as uncharacterized. The transcript is spliced from 8 exons. The record is from RefSeq and is a predicted model, not a curated record. Lineage: Eukaryota; Metazoa; Mollusca; Bivalvia; Myida; Dreissenidae.
UUUUUUUUUUACUAUGACAGAAUCUUAGUUGACUGAUGGUCUUUGACAAAGACAGACUUGUUUUUGUGAGCUAUGAAAAAAAUUUGACUUUGAAAUAUUUUUACGAUUAAAAAGUUUCAGUUCACUUUUGAACGUUGACGAAGACGGACGUACUUUCGUGAGCUCUGACUAUUGAUGAAAAGUUUUGAGUUUUACUGACUUGUACUUUGAGAGUAAAAUUGACUUCGCGUUAUAGAAUAGCGACUUGGUACUCAGGUUGUUGAAUGACUGGAUGACUGAAGUGUUAGGUUAUUGUUAUGAGAUAACAACUUGACUUUGACUUGAGUUGUGAAAUGAAACCAUACUCUUAUGCGAUGUUAACUUUUGAACGUUUAGUAUUGACUGACAACGAAAUUUUGUGAGCGUUAUAUAUGAAAUGUUUGACUUACAUUAAUUUUUUUGAACGACUUGACUUCACUUUAAGUUUUGACAUCGGACUGAUCGGACGUGUUUUUUUAAGCUCUGACUGUUGUGAAUAAUUAAAUUUAUGUUGUGGUGUCAAGCGAUUGACUGUCAGUUGAGGUUCAGAUGUCGAGCUGUGCGGACGUGUUCAUCGAGCUGCUGUCUACAAAAAACGGGGCUGUGGUGAGUAUUGUAGUAUAAAUUUGUUUCAAUAAAUCAUGAUGAAUGAAAACUGAUUUCGAUUCGUUUUGUACAGGUUUACUUGUAUAGAAGUGUAAUGCGUUGGGUAGAAAUUAGAAUCUACUCAGUACUGAUAUAGUGUCGAUAUGUUGUGAUUAGCGAUGAUGGUGUAUGAUGGUGGAACAGAACAUGAGCUACUUUGGGGAAACGAACAUAUGAUUGAAAAAUGAUUGCAAACAUAGUAGAUGAAUGAUAUGAUAUUGCUUAAAUUGUAUUUGCAUGCUGUAACAUUUCUAUUCCAUUUCAGUGCGCUGUGGUGAGUAUUGACUAUUGUAGUAUAAAUUUGUUUCAAUAAACGAUGAUGAAUGAAAACUGAUUUUGAUUCGUUUUGUGUAAUUUUAGGGAUUUUCACUCUAUAACAACUCUGUCGGUUGGUGUUCAUGAGUGUGAGCUUAAUACAGCAAUGUUUGAGUAGUACAAAAAUGUUUUCGCUUUUGUGGUCGCCAGCUGUCCGUGAUCUGUAAAGUGAAAAUACACAGAGCUAUGAAGCAUACAAAUGUUUCGAAAUUUUAUCAAUGAUUGUAUACUAUGCAUGUUUUGAUUUAGUUCGUUUCAGAUUUGACAUGAGAUGAAAACCUGACAUGAUUUGAACAGAGCUGGGAAACGAAAAGGUAAGUCUGUUUCAUUCCACUAUGAACACUUGUAUUUUGACAAAAGAAGAGAUAAAGUGAGUUACUUUAUCAUCAUGGUUUCAUUUGGUGUAUUACACAUGAACAGAGGUAAACCUAGCUAGCUUUUCGUGUACUCUAUUUUGGAUGAUGAGUAUGUCAGUAACUUUAAUUGUACGGCUAGUAAAGUAUGAACAUGAAUGCUUUGUUCAGAUUUUCAGAUGUGUGCUGGCAGUUUAAGUCUGGCAGCUGGAGUGAACAGUCGUGUUUUCUGGAGCUCCAACAAUAUGCUAGAAGGUAAGUAACUAUGUUUGUUUUGCAUUGCAUGUUUUUAUAUGUUUCAGACUUUCAAGCAGAGAUGUCAUGCUGACUGGAGUUGAGCACAGGGCAGUGACAAAGUGAAAGGUAAGUACUUUUGACUGAAUGUUUGUUCUAUGCAUGUUUUGUUUUAAUACAUUUCAGGAGUGCUUAUCCAGUGAUGAUAUGACAGUUGGAGUGAACAGUGGAGCCAAGCAGUCUUGUUUUUGGAGCUACUCAACAAGCCUUGAAGGUAAGUUUAGAAUUUCUCAAUGUUAGUGAAUUGAAGUACUGUCACUUGCUUUUGGACAGUCGAACAGAACAGACGUGGUUGCGAGAGCUCUCAUAUCUGUUGUGUUAAACUGUUUUUAUGAUAUGUUAUGUUUGUUUGUUUGUUUGUUGGUGUUGUACUAUUUUUCAGAUGCUGUUGUCAGUGAUGGGUUUUCAAGCUGACCUGAACAGAAAAGCAAUCAUAUGGUAAGUACAAAUAGUUGUUAUAUGGGAUGUUUUGUGCAUGCUUUUAUGUUUCAGGUGUACUUGCAGUUAGAGACGAAGACGAUUCAAGAAGAGGACCAUAGGUCAGAAAGUGGAUGGAACAUACAAAGGGUAAGUUGAACCUGUGUUUUUGUUUGAUUUUUACCAUGCAUACUUUGCUUUGCUCUGUUUCAGAUUUCACAUGCAGAAAUUAAACAGGAUUUCAACUGCUGAGACACAAUUCAUCAAAAGUAAGGUAAGUUUUAAUUCAUUGAUUUGAGUUGUACAAUGUGUUCUUUACUUUAUUUCAGAUUCGAGUCACUGGUUUACACAUGGAAGAAGAUUUCCACGUCGGUUACUCAACUCUACAGAAGCAAGUGGAUGUCCAGAUGGCAAGCAGAACAGACGUGUUUCUUGGAGCUGCCAAACAUUCGUUUCAGAUACGACAUGACAUGAAGAGUUGACAGUCGAACAGAGCUGAGCAAAGCAGAAAGGUGUACUUGUAGUCAGCGACGAAGACGAUUCAAGAAGAGGAACAUUGCUGAGAAAGUGAAUGGGACUUGCAAACAGGGUAAGUGUUACAAUUGUGUUUGUUUGAUUUUUGCCAUGCAUACUUUGCUUUGCUCUGUUUCAGAUUUCACAUGCAGAAAUGGUCUCAUAGCAGUGCCAACAGUGAAUAAGGAUUUCAGCUGCUGUGAAACAACUCAACAGAAAGUAGGUAAGCAUUGAAUGAAUGCACUUGAGUUGUACAAUUUGAUGUGAUGCUUUUCUCUGUUUCAGAUUCAAGUUCCUGGUGUAGACAGAAAAAUGUGUUUGAAGAAGGAAUUCUACUACUGUGAUUCAACUCUACAGAAGCAAGGUAAGUAGAAACAAAAUUUUGGUUUAAUUUAACUCAUGUGUUUUGCACUGAAUGCUAUUUUUCAGGUCUCUCAUGCAGUGAGGGAAAAGAAGAAGAUUUCAAGAAAAAAUCACUGCUGCAACUCAGGCCGAUAACAAGGUAAGCGUUUACUAUAUUGUAUACAAAAUGUUUUUCUGUUUUACUCUGUUUCAGGUUUCAAUUGCAGAGAUGUUGCAGAGAUGUUUUGACAGCUUGUGACAGAAAAGAAAUUCAGCAGCUGUGUCUCGACUCUAGCCACGAGGUAAGUCAAAACAAAUAUACUGGUUUGUAUGUAAUGUUGUUAUGCCCUUCUAUGUUUCAGACUUACAUUGCUGUGACUGUUCGACAGUGGGUCAAAAAAGAGACGAAUACAGGUUUCAAGAAGAAAAUUGGCUGUUAAAACUCUGCACAAAAUAUGAGGUAAGUAAACAACUCUUUUGGUUUGUUUUGUGCCUUGUUAUGCUUAACUAUUUUUCAGAUUGAAAUGGUGGGUCGUUACAGAGCAGACUUUUGGACUACUGAGAAGUUGAGAAACAGAGAAUGAUUCAAUAUCAGCUAGGUAAGUCUUGAUUAUUGUGCAUUGCUAAAUGUUUUUUUUCAUUCCAGUAUGGCUGUGGUAAGUACACAAACUUUCUAUAAUUUAAUAUUGAACUGUUUUUAUGACCUGUAUUCUGCAUUGUAAAAUGUCUGUUUUUCAUUUCAGUAUCCUGUGGUAAGUACACUAACUUUCUUUAAUUUUCAUAUUGAACUGUUUUGAUGACUUGUAUACUACUAUGCAAUGCCUAAUGUUUUUUUCAUUUCAGUAGCCUGUUGGUAAGUACACUAACUUUCUAUAAUUUCAUAGUGAACUGUUUUGAUGACUUGUAUUCUGCUAUACAAAAUGUGUUUUUUUCAUUUCAGUUGCCUGUGGUAAGUACACUAACUUUCUAUCAUUUCAUAUUGAACUGUUUUGAUGACCUGUAUUUUGCAUUGUAAAAUGUGUUUCUUUUUCAUUUCAGUAUGGCUGUGGUAAGUACACAUACUUUCUAUAAUUUCAUAUUGAACUGUUUUGAUGACUUGUAUACUGCUAUGCAAAAUGUCUGUUUUUCAUUUCAGUAGCCUGUGGUAAGUACACUAACUUUCUUUAAUUUUCAUAUUGAACUGUUUUGAUGACUUGUAUUCUGCUAUACAAAAUGUGCUUUUUUCAAUUUCAGGUCAGCAAUGGUAAGUAUAGUGUGUUUCUUUAUGUAUAAUUUUGUAUACAUAUUGUUUUUUUCAUCAUAGCAUGUCUUUUAUAUUUAUGCUUUGUGUAAGUAAAAUGUUCAUAAAUCAUUCUUAUCUUCAAACUAAAAAUGUAUUGUGCUAUGCAAAAUGUCUGUAUGAUUUCAGUUGCCAGAGGUGAGUACCAUUACAGUUGAAAAGUUAGUUUUGUUUAGUUAAAGUUUUGGUUCACAGUUCUGUUUGUUAUUUGGCAAAAUUUACAUGUAUGCAUUGAGUCUUGAUUUCAGCUAGAUUGUGGACUGAAGAAGAUUGCCAGCAGAGGGAUUGGAUACAAGAUACAAACUUUACUGCUGGACGAGUGUUCUCUACUACUAGACGUGUCAGGUUUACUACCAGGCGAGCAGUGACAACAAGGCGCCUUUGUGGUAACAACACAACAAAAAACUGUACUGCUAGACGAGCAGUGACAGAAAGGCGCCUGAACAUGCAACACAAUACAAAAAAUGCCAAUUUGCAAACCUUGAUGUGGACACCGAGUAGUCAAUACAUACGUGUGGGGUACAGCUGCGACAAAACCGUGGGUCCAUCGCACCGAUAACUUGAACAUUGGCCCGCGUAUGGACAUCAGUGCAACUUUGUGAAUCCAUGUAACUUUGUGAAUCCAUGUAACAUUGCGAAUAUGUGUCGAUCAAAAAAUGUGAACAUUAUGCAAUGAAACGAACUCGGUGUUGCAAGUGGCAAGUGUUGACAGUGUGUAUGUUUAUGUUUAUGUUUUUACAUGAAAAAUAAAGGAGAUUGUUCUCCUACCUUUUUUUUCCUUGUUUUAUUGUGCUGGCCAGCAAUAUUGAUGUAUUGAUGUAUUGAUGUAUGUGUUUGUGUAUUAACGAUGUA